Molecule: long non-coding RNA, 307 nt
Filed under: Nicotiana benthamiana
Lineage: Eukaryota; Viridiplantae; Streptophyta; Magnoliopsida; Solanales; Solanaceae
Description: long non-coding RNA (NBEN_LNC038379)
Source: RNAcentral
AAAUCUCUGUAAGGAAAGUUGCAAACCAUAAAGUGUCGCCAAUGCAACUAAGGAAUGACAAGAGCACAAUUAUAUGGAGACAGUUUGACGCCCCCGAGCCAGAGAACUACUGGUAUCGUGUCUGUGAAGGGCCUACUGCCAAAGACAUCCAGAGGCCGUGGCACGCUUUGUGGGCAGUUUGAUGCCCCCGAGCCAGAGAACUACUGGUAUCGUGUCUGUGAAGGGCCUACUGCCAAAGACAUCCAGAGGCCGUGGCAUGCUUUGUGGAAAUCAAAGAGACUGAUGAAUAUAGUUACUGAGAUUAGUG